CUACGGGGGGCAGCAGUGGGGAAUAUUGGGCAAUGGGCGCAAGCCUGACCCAGCAACGCCGCGUGAGGGAAGAAGGUCUUCGGAUUGUAAACCUCUGUCCUUGGGGACGAAAAAAAUGACGGUACCCAAGGAGGAAGCUCCGGCUAACUACGUGCCAGCAGCCGCGCGAAUACGUAGGGAGCAAGCGUUGUCCGGAAUUACUGGGCGUAAAGGGUGCGUAGGCGGCAUGGCAAGUCAGAUGUGAAAUCCCCGGGCUUAACUCGGGUGGGUCAUUUGAAACUGCUGUGCUUGAGUGCAGGAGAGGAAAGCGGAAUUCCUAGUGUAGCGGUGAAAUGCGUAGAUAUUAGGAAGAACACCAGUGGCGAAGGCGGCUUUCUGGACUGUAACUGACGCUGAGGCACGAAAGCGUGGGGAGCAAACAGGAUUAGAUACCCGAGUAGUC
Molecule: ribosomal RNA, 442 nt
Filed under: uncultured bacterium
Lineage: Bacteria
Description: partial 16S ribosomal RNA
Rfam family: Bacterial small subunit ribosomal RNA
Source: RNAcentral